This 505-nucleotide ribosomal RNA is filed under the name uncultured bacterium. RNAcentral's name for it is "partial 16S ribosomal RNA". It matches the Rfam family "Bacterial small subunit ribosomal RNA", at positions 28 to 507 of the family's 1533-position model. The record is from RNAcentral.
GACGAACGCUGGCGGCGUGCCUAAUACAUGCAAGUAGAACGCACAGUUUAUACCGUAGCUUGCUACACCAUAAACUGUGAGUUGCGAACGGGUGAGUAACGCGUAGGUAACCUGCCUGGUAGCGGGGGAUAACUAUUGGAAACGAUAGCUAAUACCGCAUAAUAUUAAUUAUUGCAUGAUAAUUGAUUGAAAGAUGCAAUUGCAUCACUACCAGAUGGACCUGCGUUGUAUUAGCUAGUAGGUGAGGUAACGGCUCACCUAGGCGACGAUACAUAGCCGACCUGAGAGGGUGAUCGGCCACACUGGGACUGAGACACGGCCCAGACUCCUACGGGAGGCAGCAGUAGGGAAUCUUCGGCAAUGGACGAAAGUCUGACCGAGCAACGCCGCGGGAGUGAAGAAGGUUUUCGGAUCGUAAAGCUCUGUUGUAAGAGAAGAACGGGUGUGAGAGUGGAAAGUUCACAAUGUGACGGUAUCUUACCAGAAAGGGACGGCUAACUACGUG